UUGUUGUUUAGUCAUUUAGUCGUGUCUGACUCUUUGUGACCCCCUGGACCAGAGCACGCCAGGCACUCCUGUCUUCCACUGCCUCCCGCAGUUUGGUCAAACUCAUGCUGGUAGCUUCGAGAACACUGUCCAGCCAUCUCGUCCUCUGCCGUCCCCUUCUCCUUGUGCCCUCCAUCUUUCCCAGCAUCAGGGUCUUUUCCAGGGAGUCUUCUCUUCUCCUGAGGUGGCCAAAGUCUUGGAGCCUCAGCUUCAGGAUCUGUCCUUCCAGUGAGCACUCAGGGCUGAUUUCCUUCAGAAUGGAUCGGUUUGAUCUUCC
Molecule: long non-coding RNA, 316 nt
Filed under: Podarcis lilfordi (Lilford's wall lizard)
Lineage: Eukaryota; Metazoa; Chordata; Lepidosauria; Squamata; Lacertidae
Source: RNAcentral